UUGAUAAUUUUAACGUUAGUUCGUUUCAUACUGUGUAAAGACCAAGGCUGUUUUGAGCAAACGACUCGUUUUUCCUUUACAAUUUAUAAGGGUAAAACGAUUCGUUUGCCACAAAAACGAGUCAUUCAAAGGAAUGUGAGCCCAAAUAAUUGUCUAAAUUGUGCUUCAUUUAGCACAUCCCUGAAUAAAGUCAAAAAAUAAAAAUCAAAUUUUGACAAUAAAUUUUAUAAAAUAAACAAAAUUUUACAGAGAAGGCAAGAAAAGACAAAAAUAGUGCACCAUAAGAUUUAUGUUGGAGAUGUUUUUCAAAACGGCCUUUCCGAGGCUGCAGAUAUAUAUUUUUUGCUUUCUACAAAAUGUAAUUCUACUUUUUCUUACAGCGGAGUAAGAAAAGAAGACAAAAAUUCAAAAGCCAACAUCUCCACAAGUUUUGGCUUUGCGAGUAAUGCUGAUGUUACAUAGAUGUCUUUUUGAGGAUGAUUGUUCGCCUCAGAAAUCUUCACUGGCAAGAUUUUAGCAAUAGAUGCUGUGUGUGUGUGUGUGUGAACUGAUAAAAAGCCAUCGACAUCAUUUGUGACUCAUUAUCCGAAACACAAUUGCAGCGUCCUACUUGGGUCUUAUAGAAACUAAAUAAAUCUAAUAAAUAUUGUGGGAGAAAAAGAACAACGAAGCAUA
Molecule: long non-coding RNA, 675 nt
Organism: Stomoxys calcitrans (stable fly)
Lineage: Eukaryota; Metazoa; Arthropoda; Insecta; Diptera; Muscidae
Exons: 2
Source: RefSeq, a predicted model, not a curated record